RNAcentral lists this ribosomal RNA (480 nucleotides) under uncultured bacterium. RNAcentral's name for it is "partial 16S ribosomal RNA". It matches the Rfam family "Bacterial small subunit ribosomal RNA", at positions 28 to 506 of the family's 1533-position model. The record is from RNAcentral.
GAUGAACGCUGGCGGCGUGCUUAACACAUGCAAGUCGAACGAAGCAUUUAAGACAGAUUACUUCGGUUUGAGGUCUUUUAUGACUGAGUGGCGGACGGGUGAGUAACGCGUGGGUAACCUGCCUCAUACAGGGGGAUAGCAGCUGGAAACGGCUGGUAAUACCGCAUAAGCGCACAGUACCACAUGGUACAGUGUGAAAAACUCCGGUGGUAUGAGAUGGACCCGCGUCUGAUUAGCUUGUUGGCGGGGUAACGGCCCACCAAGGCGACGAUCAGUAGCCGACCUGAGAGGGUGACCGGCCACAUUGGGACUGAGACACGGCCCAGACUCCUACGGGAGGCAGCAGUGGGGAAUAUUGCACAAUGGAGGAAACUCUGAUGCAGCGACGCCGCGUGAGUGAAGAAGUAGUUCGCUAUGUAAAGCUCUAUCAGCAGGGAAGAUAGUGACGGUACCUGACUAAGAAGCUCCGGCUAAAUACGU